Camellia sinensis is the source of this 1870-nucleotide non-coding RNA. NCBI's taxonomy places the organism in Eukaryota, Viridiplantae, Streptophyta, Magnoliopsida, Ericales, Theaceae. The record is from RefSeq and is a predicted model, not a curated record.
GCAUAAACACAAUCUUUUAGUCCUAAGUUGGCUUAUUUUAGCCAAAAAUAUGCGAUACUUUGCUAGAUCUGCAUGCAAUUAGGCCAAAGAUGAGAGAGCAUUUUUACUCUCCUGAACAAAUAUAAUCAUGGAAACAACAAAGGCAAUGGUCAAUUUUUUUUUUUGGCAGAUCAAGAAUGUAUGAUUAAAAGACUUCAAUGGGUGUUCAAAGAAAAAAGUUUUGGCAGCUUGGGAUCCAAAUGAGGCAUGUAAAUUGGAGCCUUGUUCUACAUGGAAACAGCCAGCGUAACCGAAAAUUUGUAUCAUAACUCUCUAGUCUGCAAAGUUUUUUUUAGUAAAUGUAGGUGGUCUUUGUUUUCUAUACUAGGUUCAGUUCAUCAGUUGCCUAUGUAUGUACAAAAAUUAUUCAGUAUUGUGUGCCGCAAGUGAAUCAGGACACCUGCAUAUCAAAGUUAACACAAGACAAGAAAUCUACAUUUGUCCUCUAGCCAAAGUAGUCCAAAUAAUCUUUUUUGAACCCCAUCAUCAUUUGUGAGAAAUAUGACCAAAAUGUCUGUUUUAAACUAGGAUGGGAGAGGAGAGAGAGUUUCAACAGCAAUCUAGAAGUAGUUCUAAGGCAUCUCUUUUGGCCACCAGAUACAUUUCUAAGUUCAUUCAUGGCUACAUGUUAUGCCCACCUAUAAGAAGCCAAAUCCUCCCAAAUGAGGUGCACCUUCGACUGGCUCAACCACUAGGCUACUUAUCCCAUGCCUAUGGCCCACCAAGAAAUUUUUUAAAAAUUCUUACUGUCAAAUGUCCCAAUUGUUCAAAGGCACAAGGCCUCAUUUCGAUGUUUAGUCUAAAGUCUCAAAAACCUUUGGGCCACUGCUGACUCCACAUAGAAUUGGUAGACAAAGCACAACGCUUCUCCAAUCUGUACUCCCAGAAAGUUGGCUCCAAGACAAGCACUCACUUAUAGCCCCUAAUAUGGUUUUCCAAAUACCUGUAAAAUAGCCCCUUGGGAUCAUAACAAGAUGCUCCUCCAGGUACCAAGCUCAGAAAUCUGACCAGUCACUGCAUCUGUUGUUUAGAGCCCUGUUCUUCUUCCUUUCCUUUUUUUUUUUUUGAUAAAUAUAAAUUUAGUUCUUCUUCUUUGCCCACACCAAAUAUCUUCUUUUGGAAUCAGUAACCAAAUUAGUGCUCUGAUAGGUCCACAAACUGUAUCUAAGAUUUUAGUUUUUGCUUUGUAUUUAUUGUUAAUAUUAAGGGUAGGUUUGGUUGCUUCAUUACAAUGCGAGCAUAGAGGGUUCAAACCACGAAAACAACCUCUCCACAGGAGGGGUAAAGUUGCAUACAUCUAGAGUUAUUAGCCAAACCCAAGUUGUGUCAAAAACUAUUUUUCAAUUACAAAUUGUUUUGAAUUUAUUUUCCAAACCCAGAUUGCUUUCUGAAAAUCAUGUUUCGAAAACACAACUUUACGCUCGAAGCUGGCAUUUUCAAAACACAACUUCAAAAAAAAUUGCUUGGCUUCAGAAAAAAAUGUUUCAAAACUACACUUUAUUUGUAUUAUUAACACUAUAUUUUUGGGUUAAUGAACUGUGUUACAGGUAAACAAAGAAACUACUUCUAAUCACCUAAUUCAAAGAAAGGAACUAAAUAAGAAUUUUAAGUAGGAUCACACCCCUAUAUCACACAGAAUUGAACAAUCAAAGCUAAAUUCAGAGUCUAAAAAAAAGUCUACCCAACCACCAUACAUAUAAAUCAAUGAAGUUCCACAAUCAAAAUCAUCUGAUUAAAAAAAUGAACACAAACCCUAGACAACAAAUUAACAAUCAAACAAGAAACAGAGUGAGGCCAACAAUGUCUAAUUUUACAGAGAAAAAAAAAAAAA